This 492-nucleotide ribosomal RNA is filed under the name uncultured bacterium. RNAcentral's name for it is "partial 16S ribosomal RNA". It matches the Rfam family "Bacterial small subunit ribosomal RNA", at positions 29 to 507 of the family's 1533-position model. The record is from RNAcentral.
AGUGAACGCUGGCGGUAGGCCUAACACAUGCAAGUCGAACGGCAGCACAGUAAGAGCUUGCUCUUACGGGUGGCGAGUGGCGGACGGGUGAGGAAUACAUCGGAAUCUACUUUUUCGUGGGGGAUAACGUAGGGAAACUUACGCUAAUACCGCAUACGACCUACGGGUGAAAGCAGGGGAUCUUCGGACCUUGCGCGAUUGAAUGAGCCGAUGUCGGAUUAGCUAGUUGGCGGGGUAAAGGCCCACCAAGGCGACGAUCCGUAGCUGGUCUGAGAGGAUGAUCAGUCACACGUGAACAAAGACACGGUCCAGACUACUACGGGCGGCAGCAGUGGGGAAUAUGGGACAAGGGGCGGAAGCCUGAUCCAGCCAUGCGGCGGGGUUGAAGAAGGUCUUCGGAUUGUAAAGCACUUUAGGGUGAGAGGAAGGGCAGGAAGCUAAUACCUUGCUGGUUUGACGUUACCAACAGAAUAAGCACCGGAUAGCUUCGUG